Molecule: ribosomal RNA, 690 nt
Filed under: uncultured Acidobacteriota bacterium
Lineage: Bacteria; Pseudomonadati; Acidobacteriota
Description: bacterial SSU rRNA
Rfam family: Bacterial small subunit ribosomal RNA
Source: RNAcentral
GAUCCUGGCUCAGAAUCAACGCUGGCGGCGUGCCUCAGACAUGCAAGUCGAACGAUUAAACUUUCCUUCGGGAAAGAUAUAAAGUGGCGCACGGGUGAGUAACACGUAGGUAAUCUACCUUUGAGUGGGGAAUAACGUUCGGAAACGAACGCUAAUACCGCAUAAUGCAGCGGCACCGCAAGGUGACAGUUGUUAAAGGAGCAAUCCGCUUAAAGAGGAGCCUGCGGCAGAUUAGCUAGUUGGUAAGGUAAUGGCUUACCAAGGCUACGAUCUGUAACCGACCUGAGAGGGUGGUCGGUCACACUGACACUGAAUAACGGGUCAGACUCCUACGGGAGGCAGCAGUCGGGAAUUUUGGGCAAUGGGCGAAAGCCUGACCCAGCAACGCCGCGUGAAGGAUGAAGUAUUUCGGUAUGUAAACUUCGAAAGAAUAGGAAGAAUAAAUGACGGUACUAUUUAUAAGGUCCGGCUAACUACGUGCCAGCAGCCGCGGUAAUACGUAGGGACCAAGCGUUGUUCGGAUUUACUGGGCGUAAAGGGCGCGUAGGCGGCAGUUCAAGUCAGUUGUGAAAUCUCCGAGCUUAACUCGGAACGGUCAACUGAUACUGUUUUGCUAGAGUGCAGAAGGGGCAAUCGGAAUUCUUGGUGUAGCGGUGAAAUGCGUAGAUAUCAAGAGGAACACCUGAGGUG